CGAGAGGCGCCGGGCACUCUGGGGGGACUGCCCCCGAAAGGGGGAGGAAGGAGCGGGCUACGGCAGGUCAGUAUGCCCCGAAUCCCCCGGGCCGCACGCGACGUUCAAUGGUGGGGACAGUGGGAUGCAACCCCGAAAGGGGAAGCCAAUCCCUAAACCCCACCUCAGUAGGGAUCGAGGGUUGCAACUCGCCCUCGUGAACGCGGAAUCCCUAGUAACCGCCCGUUACCACCGGGCGGUGAAUACGUCCCCGCUCCUUGCACACACUGCCCGUCGCUGCAUCCGAGCUGGAACUGGGCGAGGGCCUGUCUCGUUGGCGGGUUCGAGCCCGGCUCUGGUGAGGAGGCAGAAGUCGUAACAAGGUGGCCGCACGGGAACGUGUGGCCGGAUCACCUCCC
RNAcentral lists this ribosomal RNA (398 nucleotides) under Candidatus Caldarchaeum sp. RNAcentral describes it as "bacterial SSU rRNA". It matches the Rfam family "Archaeal small subunit ribosomal RNA", at positions 1078 to 1478 of the family's 1478-position model. Lineage: Archaea; Thermoproteati; Nitrososphaerota; Candidatus Caldarchaeales; Candidatus Caldarchaeaceae. The record is from RNAcentral.